This 76-nucleotide transfer RNA is filed under the name Candidatus Parcubacteria bacterium. Its description in RNAcentral is "tRNA-Ala". It matches the Rfam family "tRNA". Rfam says of the family: Transfer RNA (tRNA) molecules are approximately 80 nucleotides in length. Their secondary structure includes four short double-helical elements and three loops (D, anti-codon, and T loops). The record is from RNAcentral. Lineage: Bacteria; Candidatus Parcubacteria.
GGGCCCGUGGCGCAGUUGGUAGCGCGCCUCAUUUGCAAUGAGGAGGUCAGCGGUUCAAACCCGCUCGGGUCCACCA